CAUGUCCUUUUGAUUAUAAUUUAAGGUCUGGUCUGCCCACUGAGGAAUUAAAUGGCCGCGGUAUUUUGACCGUGCAAAGGUAGCAUAAUCAUUAGUUUUUUAAUUGAAAGCUGGAAUGAAUGGCUGGAUGAGAAAGAAGCUGUCUCAAAUUUAUUUUUUUUGAAAUUUAUUUUUAAGUUAAAAAGCUUAAAUGAUUUUAAAAGACGAGAAGACCCUAUAGAAUUUUAUAUUUUUUUAUUUAAAUUUAAGUGGUUUUUUAUUUUUUUUAAAUUUUAAAGUAUUUUGUUGGGGUGAUGGAAAAAUUAAUAUAACUUUUUUUUUAUUAUUACAUUAAUUAGUGAGUU
RNAcentral lists this ribosomal RNA (344 nucleotides) under Trogossitinae gen. 1 sp. 1 MB-2019. Its description in RNAcentral is "partial 16S large subunit ribosomal RNA". Lineage: Eukaryota; Metazoa; Arthropoda; Insecta; Coleoptera; Trogossitidae. The record is from RNAcentral.